This is a non-coding RNA of Chlorocebus sabaeus (green monkey), 220 nucleotides long. NCBI's taxonomy places the organism in Eukaryota, Metazoa, Chordata, Mammalia, Primates, Cercopithecidae. The record is from RefSeq and is a predicted model, not a curated record.
CAGCCACCUCCUGCUGGAAGGUCCCAGGGACCACCAUCCCCUCCUCAAGGGGGCAGACCCGCCGGACCUCCCCAGGGACAGUCUCCCCAGUAAUCUAGGAUUCAGUGACUGGAAGUGAAAAAGAAGAUGACAGUGAUUCAAAUGAUUCAAAUGCCAUGAAAUUGGACGAAGGUGGUCGUAGCUCUAACUUCAAUAUACCAAUAAAAUAAUCAGCUUGCAA